UACGUAGGGUGCAAGCGUUGUCCGGAAUUAUUGGGCGUAAAGAGCUCGUAGGCGGUCUGUCACGUCGGCUGUGAAAACCCGAGGCUCAACCUCGGGCCUGCAGUCGAUACGGGCAAACUAGAGUACUGCAGGGAGACUGGAAUUCCUGGUGUAGCGGUGAAAUGCGCAGAUAUCAGGAGGAACACCGGUGGCGAAGGCGGGUCUCUGGGCG
RNAcentral lists this ribosomal RNA (211 nucleotides) under uncultured bacterium. RNAcentral's name for it is "partial 16S ribosomal RNA". It matches the Rfam family "Bacterial small subunit ribosomal RNA", at positions 524 to 735 of the family's 1533-position model. The record is from RNAcentral.